This 73-nucleotide small nucleolar RNA is filed under the name Salvator merianae (Argentine black and white tegu). The record is from RNAcentral. Lineage: Eukaryota; Metazoa; Chordata; Lepidosauria; Squamata; Teiidae.
UGGGCGUGAUGAGAUCUCUAGAGCCUGACUUCUUCAGCCGUGGAGGCAAAAGCUGAUUUAAUGAGCCUGAUCC